Molecule: ribosomal RNA, 468 nt
Filed under: uncultured bacterium
Lineage: Bacteria
Description: partial 16S ribosomal RNA
Rfam family: Bacterial small subunit ribosomal RNA
Source: RNAcentral
GACGAACGCUGGCGGCGUGCUUAACACAUGCAAGUCGAACGGAAAGGCCCUGCUUUUGUGGGGUGCUCGAGUGGCGAACGGGUGAGUAACACGUGAGUAACCUGCCCUUGACUUUGGGAUAACUUCAGGGAACUGGGGCUAAUACCGGAUAGGAGCUCCUGCUGCAUGGGGGGGGUUGGAAAGUUUCGGCGGUUGGGGAUGGACUCGCGGCUUAUCAGCUUGUUGGUGGGGUAGUGGCUUACCAAGGCUUUGACGGGUAGCCGGCCUGAGAGGGUGACCGGCCACAUUGGGACUGAGAUACGGCCCAGACUCCUACGGGAGGCAGCAGUGGGGAAUAUUGCACAAUGGGCGGAAGCCUGAUGCAGCAACGCCGCGUGCGGGAUGACGGCCUUCGGGUUGUAAACCGCUUUCGCCUGUGACGAAGCGUGAGUGACGGUAAUGGGUAAAGAAGCACCGGCUAACUACGUG